CCAGGGAAGAAGCCAGCGGCUCCCAAGGCAGCACCGAAAAAGGCUCCUACUUCAAAGAAGACGCCGGCUAAAUCCGUUAAGCCGAAGAGCGUAAAGUCACCGUCAAGGAGGACUUCAGCUAAGAGGACUUCAGCUAGGAAGGGAAGGAAGUGAUCAUAACAUGGAGGCAUACCAUAGGCUUCAGCGUUUGUAGGGUUGUUUUGUAAAUUCGGUGCCGAUGAGGUGUAUUUGAGUCCAUGUGUUCUAGUUGGCCACAAAAAGAAGACAUUGGAUUUUUUUU
RNAcentral lists this unclassified non-coding RNA (280 nucleotides) under Hevea brasiliensis (rubber tree). The record is from RNAcentral. Lineage: Eukaryota; Viridiplantae; Streptophyta; Magnoliopsida; Malpighiales; Euphorbiaceae.